This 621-nucleotide ribosomal RNA is filed under the name Bradyrhizobiaceae bacterium Se2Pw_3613. RNAcentral's name for it is "bacterial SSU rRNA". It matches the Rfam family "Bacterial small subunit ribosomal RNA", at positions 395 to 1032 of the family's 1533-position model. Lineage: Bacteria; Pseudomonadati; Pseudomonadota; Alphaproteobacteria; Hyphomicrobiales; Nitrobacteraceae. The record is from RNAcentral.
UGCCGCGUGAGUGAUGAAGGCCCUAGGGUUGUAAAGCUCUUUUGUACGGGAAGAUAAUGACGGUACCGUAAGAAUAAGCCCCGGCUAACUUCGUGCCAGCAGCCGCGGUAAUACGAAGGGGGCUAGCGUUGCUCGGAAUCACUGGGCGUAAAGGGUGCGUAAGCGGGUUUUUAAGUCAGAGGUGAAAUCCUGGAGCUCAACUCCAGAACUGCCUUUGAUACUGAAAGUCUUGAGUAUGGGAGAGGUGAGUGGAACUGCGAGUGUAGAGGUGAAAUUCGUAUAUAUUCGCAAGAACACCAGUGGCGAAGGCGGCUCACUGGCCCAUAACUGACGCUGAGGCACGAAAGCGUGGGGAGCAAACAGGAUUAAAUACCCUGGUAGUCCACGCCAUAAACGAUGAAGGCCAGCCGUUAGUGGGUUUACUCACUAGUGGCGCAGCUAACGCUUUAAGCAUUCCGCCUGGGGAGUACGGUCGCAAGAUUAAAACUCAAAGGAAUUGACGGGGGCCCGCACAAGCGGUGGAGCAUGUGGUUUAAUUCGACGCAGCGCGCAGAACCUUACCAGCCCUUGACAUGUCCAGGACCGGCACCAGAGAUGGAGCCUUCUCUUCGGAGCCUGGAG